CAGUAGCCGCGGGAAUACAGAGGGUGCAAGCGUUAAUCGGAAUUACUGGGCGUAAAGCGCGCGUAGGUGGUUUGUUAAGUUGGAUGUGAAAUCCCCGGGCUCAACCUGGGAACUGCAUCCAAAACUGGCAAGCUAGAGUAUGGUAGAGGGUGGUGGAAUUUCCUGUGUAGCGGUGAAAUGCGUAGAUAUAGGAAGGAACACCAGUGGCGAAGGCGACCACCUGGACUGAUACUGACACUGAGGUGCGAAAGCGUGGGGAGCAAACAGGAUUAGAUACCCCUGUAGUCCCUGUCUCUUAUAA
RNAcentral lists this ribosomal RNA (301 nucleotides) under uncultured bacterium. RNAcentral describes it as "partial 16S ribosomal RNA". It matches the Rfam family "Bacterial small subunit ribosomal RNA", at positions 509 to 809 of the family's 1533-position model. The record is from RNAcentral.